This 492-nucleotide ribosomal RNA is filed under the name uncultured bacterium. RNAcentral describes it as "partial 16S ribosomal RNA". It matches the Rfam family "Bacterial small subunit ribosomal RNA", at positions 29 to 507 of the family's 1533-position model. The record is from RNAcentral.
AGUGAACGCUGGCGGUAGGCCUAACACAUGCAAGUCGAACGGCAGCACAGUAAGAGCUUGCUCUUACGGGUGGCGAGUGGCGGACGGGUGAGGAAUACAUCGGAAUCUACUUUUUCGUGGGGGAUAACGUAGGGAAACUUACGCUAAUACCGCAUACGACCUACGGGUGAAAGCAGGGGAUCUUCGGACCUUGCGCGAUUGAAUGAGCCGAUGUCGGAUUAGCUAGUUGGCGGGGUAAAGGCCCACCAAGGCGACGAUCCGUAGCUGGUCUGAGAGGAUGAUCAGCCACACUGGAACUGAGACACGGUCCAGUCUCCUACGGGGGGCAGCAGUGGGGAAUAUUGGACAAUGGGCGCAAGCCUGAUCCAGCCAUACCGCGUGGGUGAAGAAGGCCUUCGGGUUGUAAAGCCCUUUUGUUGGGAAAGAAAAGCAGCAGGUUAAUACCCCGCUGUUCUGACGGUACCCAAAGAAUAAGCACCGGCUAACUUCGUG